RNAcentral lists this ribosomal RNA (306 nucleotides) under Pantoea agglomerans. RNAcentral's name for it is "partial 23S ribosomal RNA". It matches the Rfam family "Bacterial large subunit ribosomal RNA", at positions 1220 to 1529 of the family's 2925-position model. Lineage: Bacteria; Pseudomonadati; Pseudomonadota; Gammaproteobacteria; Enterobacterales; Erwiniaceae. The record is from RNAcentral.
GUUGUUGGGUAGGGGAGCGUUCUGUAAGCCGUCGAAGGUGUGCUGUGAGGCAUGCUGGAGGUAUCAGAAGUGCGAAUGCUGACAUAAGUAACGAUAAAGCGGGUGAAAAGCCCGCUCGCCGGAAGACCAAGGGUUCCUGUUCAACGUUAAUCGGAGCAGGGUGAGUCGACCCCUAAGGCGAGGCCGAAAGGCGUAGUCGAUGGGAAACAGGUUAAUAUUCCUGUACUCGGUGUUACUGCGAAGGGGGGACGGAGAAGGCUAUAUCAGCCGGGCGACGGUUGUCCCGGUUUAAGCGUGUAGGCGGAG